This is a long non-coding RNA of Pelmatolapia mariae (spotted tilapia), 1765 nucleotides long. RefSeq lists it as uncharacterized. The transcript has 5 exons. The record is from RefSeq and is a predicted model, not a curated record. NCBI's taxonomy places the organism in Eukaryota, Metazoa, Chordata, Actinopteri, Cichliformes, Cichlidae.
ACAAAGUAUAUCAACAAAGAAAACAUUUUUGUUUCAUAAUUUCUUCGUUAUAUUCCCUUACAAAGCUAGCUUUAACGCUUCGAGGUUUCCUUUCUUCUUGCCGUCGCUUCGGCGCUUGACCCAGACUUUCGCUCUGUAGUUGCUUAGUACUACAAAAAAUUCUAAAUCUGUGAUAUAUGAUUGAUAAACGUAAAGUUAACUGUAUAAACGUGUUCAAUGACUUUGUUACUUUUGAUGAUUGGAGAGCACUCGCUUCAAUUCGCACACGAAAACUUUAGACUCAGUUUGAAUGCUCACGCAGCAUGCCCACGUGACUGUACGUUGUACGCGCACCUAACUUUACGUUGCACGCGUACAUGACUUUCCGUUUGUGCCUUAAAUAAUGAAUAAGGCUACGUCCACACGUACCAGCGUAUUUUUGAAACCGCUGAUUUUUCUAUGCGUUUGCACCUUUUGUCCACACGUAAUGUAUGUCUGGCCGUACAUUGUGUUUGUAUUUCCAGGCACAUUUCACGAAGCAGAACGCAGUCUUCAGAGAUAUCCACGUGAACGCUGUGAUACGUCUGACCUUCAGUCCGAAGCUGAAACUCAGACCAGUCUUAAAAGAAAGCACAAACCAAAUCCCCUGUACACAUAUACGGACUCAGAGGAUGAGCAGCCUACAAAAAAACGGUUUCCCCAGGCCCCUCGAGUGAAAAUACCAGCCCUCAUCACUCCGCAGUCUGCCCCCCAGCCCACUGAUAGCAACCAUCAUAAUGCCCCACCCAGCUCCCGGCACCUUUCGCCACUCCGGCACAAACCGACACAGCUUUGCGAUCUCCCCAGCAUGCAGAGUCUGAUGUCUUCCCUAUAGAUGAUUCCAGAGACUCUGUGAGGCCACUAUUGCAAGGUGAGACGCUUUGCGUUGAUUGGUGCUGCUGGACCACACUGGAGGUGCGAGUCCGCCGUGUAAUGGUUUAUGCCAUUACAAAGGAGCUGGCCUCUGUACUCAACUGGGCAGGGGAAAAAAAACCAAGGACCAGACAAAGCAAAAAAGGGCAUUUAAAGAGACAGCACUGUGCAGAUGCAUAUUUGGUAAGUUUUAACAUUUAUUGUAGUUUUAUGAGCCUAAAGUGAACAAUAAAGGGAUCAAUUGAUGUGCUGGGUGCAUUUCACAUUUCCUAUGUCUGUUUUUUGCUAUAUUACUUUGUCUUUCUUAAUAACAAGACUUUCAUAUCCGGUUAAUCUGGAGAUGGAGUCUUUGGUCUUCGGCUUGUUUUGUCCUCGGGUUGUACACUUUGUACAGCCUGAGGGCCCAUGUUUUCUUUUUCUUUUUCUUUUUUUUUAAAGGAUACACGGCACACCAUGCUAAGACAUAUCACAUUUUCAGCUUAUAGCUCUUUGGGAAUCAAAUGCGGCAGUUUGCUGAUUUCCGCCUGGUGACUUUCAUGUUUAUCAGCCUAGGAGUUUACAUACUUUCUCCCUGCUGAAGACAAUUAACAAGAGCUUAUUCAUGUGCUCUAAUUCCCUUUUUUUGUCUUUGUUUUUUUGUGUGUGUGUCUAUUUUUGUCCUAGAUGGCCUGGCGCAGCAGGUAGGGGCGAACUCUGUCUGAGUUGGUCUUUGCUCAAGCAGUCCAGAAAUGGCUCAGAUAUGAUCCAGAUCGUACGGGUGGCGCGCAGGACGCCCAUCAUCCAUCCCCAUCCCGGAGUAAAUAAUAAAAAGUGACGUGAAACAUAGAAAUGUAAAUAGGAAACUUUGUCUUUUAAUAAAGUACUUUGCAAAUGA